CAGCCGCCGCGGUAAUACGAAGGGUGCAAGCGUUAAUCGGAAUUAUUGGGCGUAAAGGGUGCGUAGGCGGUUUGAUAAGUCAUCUGUGAAAUCUCUGGGCUCAACCCAGAGUCUGCAGGCGAAACUGUCGAGCUUGAGUAUUGGAGAGGUGAGUGGAAUUUCCGGUGUAGCGGUGAAAUGCGUAGAUAUCGGAAGGAACACCUGUGGCGAAAGCGGCUCACUGGACAAUUACUGACGCUGAUGCACGAAAGCUAGGGGAGCAAACAGGAUUAGAUACCCCCGUAGUCCCUGUCUCUUAUAC
This 301-nucleotide ribosomal RNA is filed under the name uncultured bacterium. RNAcentral describes it as "partial 16S ribosomal RNA". It matches the Rfam family "Bacterial small subunit ribosomal RNA", at positions 509 to 807 of the family's 1533-position model. The record is from RNAcentral.